Molecule: transfer-messenger RNA, 337 nt
Filed under: Clostridiales bacterium
Lineage: Bacteria; Bacillati; Bacillota; Clostridia; Eubacteriales
Also listed under: 1 other name
Rfam family: transfer-messenger RNA
About the family: Bacterial tmRNA, also known as 10Sa RNA or SsrA, is named for its dual tRNA and mRNA-like properties. Its role is to liberate the mRNA from a stalled ribosome.
Source: RNAcentral
AUUGGUUUCGACGGGGAUGAUAGAGGUGAAAGAAGCGAGCUGCGGACUCCGGGGCCGCAUCAACAACCUGGAAUAAAAAAUAAACGCAAACAACGAUAAUUACGCUUUAGCUGCUGCUUAAGAAAGCAGCUACGUCUCUCCUAUAGUUCCCGCGCUAUAGGAAGGGGCGACAACUUAAGCGGGGAACUAGCCUAACAAAGCUUUGAGUUAGGUCGGACUUUAUGAAGCUACUGAAGCUGGAAUCCUGUCAGUGGGAGUCCAGUGGAGGGAAAGUCAAAACACUGACUGCGCUCGGAGAUGCUUUCGCUGAUAUAUCCUCGGACAGGGGUUCGAUUCA